GUUAGUUCAGAGGGUUAUGGGAGGGCUCUGGCGUCCUGCAUGGAGGGGCGUCGCUUUCUGUGGCUGGCGCUGGAUCCACCCUGGGUCUCCAACCAGGGCUGCAGAGAGGGUAGAGCCGUUUCUUAGGCCAGAGUGGAGUGGGACAGGAGGUGCCGAGAGAGGACUGAGGUGGCUUGGGACAUGGAAGCGCUGCAGCCUUCCCUUCCGGCAUCCAGCAUUGCAGCCGCCGCGGCGGCCUAAGAGCUCGAACCCUUUCACGCGCGCGCAGGAGGAGAAGCGGCGGCGGCAGAACAAGACGACCCUCACUUACGUGGCCGCUGUCGCCGUGGGCAUGCUGGGGGCGUCCUACGCUGCCGUACCCCUUUAUCGCCUCUAUUGCCAGACUACUGGACUUGGAGGAUCAGCAGUUGCAGGUCAUGCCUCAGACAAGAUUGAAAACAUGGUGCCUGUUAAAGAUCGAAUCAUUAAAAUUAGCUUUAAUGCAGAUGUGCAUGCAAGUCUCCAGUGGAACUUUAGACCUCAGCAAACAGAAAUAUAUGUAAGUGACUAACCAGUCAUUAAAAGAUUACUUUAUUAAUGUAAAUUCCUUUCUUUCAUCACUUAAACUGUCAGAGGACUAAUUUUAACACUAUGAUUCUAAUAAAACAUGGCAUUUUCC
This 658-nucleotide long non-coding RNA is filed under the name Pan troglodytes (chimpanzee). RNAcentral describes it as "long non-coding RNA NONPTRT007257". The record is from RNAcentral. Lineage: Eukaryota; Metazoa; Chordata; Mammalia; Primates; Hominidae.